RNAcentral lists this ribosomal RNA (569 nucleotides) under Cryptorhynchinae gen. sp. ARC4012. Its description in RNAcentral is "SSU rRNA". It matches the Rfam family "Eukaryotic small subunit ribosomal RNA", at positions 30 to 581 of the family's 1831-position model. Lineage: Eukaryota; Metazoa; Arthropoda; Insecta; Coleoptera; Curculionidae. The record is from RNAcentral.
GCUUGUCUCAAAGAUUAAGCCAUGCAUGUCUCAGUACAAGCCAAAUUAAGGUGAAACCGCGAAAGGCUCAUUAAAUCAGUUAUGGUUCCUUAGAUCGUACCCACAAUUACUUGGAUAACUGUGGUAAUUCUAGAGCUAAUACAUGCAAACAGAGCUCCGACCGGAGACGGAAGGAGUGCUUUUAUUAGAUCAAAACCAAUCGGUGACGGGCCCGUCAUCGUACAAUUUGGUGACUCUGAAUAACUUUUCGCCGAUCGCACGGUCAUCGCACCGGCGACGCGUCUUUCAAAUGUCUGCCUUAUCAACUGUCGAUGGUAGGUUCUGCGCCUACCAUGGUCGUAACGGGUAACGGGGAAUCAGGGUUCGAUUCCGGAGAGGGAGCCUGAGAAACGGCUACCACAUCCAAGGAAGGCAGCAGGCGCGCAAAUUACCCACUCCCGGCACGGGGAGGUAGUGACGAAAAAUAACGAUACGGGACUCAUCCGAGGCCCCGUAAUCGGAAUGAGUACACUCUAAACCCUUUAACGAGGAUCAAUUGGAGGGCAAGUCUGGUGCCAGCAGCCGCGGUA